AUUGAACGCUGGCGGCAGGCCUAACACAUGCAAGUCGAACGCGUGGCGGACGGGUUAGUAAUGUCUGGGAAACUGCCUGAUGGAGGGGGAUAACUACUGGAAACGGUCGCUAAUACCGCAUACCCUCGGAUGUGCCCAGAUGGGAUUAGCUAGUAGGUGGGGUAAAGGAUCACCUAGGCGAAGAUCCCUAGCUGGUCUGAGAGGAUGACCAGCCACACUGGAACUGAGACACGGUCCAGACUCCUACGGGAGGCAGCAGUGGGGAAUAUUGCACAAUGGGCGCAAGCCUGAUGCAGCCAGGCCGCGUGUAUGAAGAAGGACUUCGGGUUGUAAAGUACUGUCAGCGGGGAGGCGUUACCCGCAGAAGAAGCACCGGCUAACUCCGUGCCAGCAGCCGCGGUAAUUC
This 406-nucleotide ribosomal RNA is filed under the name uncultured bacterium. Its description in RNAcentral is "partial 16S ribosomal RNA". It matches the Rfam family "Bacterial small subunit ribosomal RNA", at positions 30 to 526 of the family's 1533-position model. The record is from RNAcentral.